UUGUGCACAAGAUUAUUGUGUCUUGAUUUUGGAUGCAACUCAUUGGAAUUCACAGAAUUUGCCAUGACUGCUGUUGAUUGGUCGACGGAGUUGCAGACCGAGAUUGAGCUAUGGAAAUAGACCAUUUCAAAUCAAACCCAGAAAAUUUGAAUCAAACUCAAUCUUCAAGACAAAUCCACCGAUCUUAAUCAAUCCAAAUCAGAAAAAAAAAAAAUCAGACCCACCAAUCUAGAGCCAAAAUCAGAUUGACCCACCUCGUCAAAAAAAGGAAAAAGCAAGAAUUCACGAACUCUUCAAGAUGAAUGGAAAUAUUUGUCGGUGCCCAGAUGUGCAGCAAAUCAACAAACACCAUACAAUUCAAUAAGAAUUGAACUGAAUCCACAAAUAAAAGAGCAAAGAAUGGAGAGAUCCUUGCUCAGUGAGUUGGGUUAAACGCCGGCUGAGAAGGAGCCAACCCAGAGAGGACAAGGAAGAGUCAUUUAACUGGUGGUGUUAUUUAUUUAUCAGAAUUCACAAUCCGUUGAAAAGCU
RNAcentral lists this unclassified non-coding RNA (530 nucleotides) under Hevea brasiliensis (rubber tree). Lineage: Eukaryota; Viridiplantae; Streptophyta; Magnoliopsida; Malpighiales; Euphorbiaceae. The record is from RNAcentral.